This 510-nucleotide ribosomal RNA is filed under the name Bacillus sp. B0624. Its description in RNAcentral is "bacterial SSU rRNA". It matches the Rfam family "Bacterial small subunit ribosomal RNA", at positions 14 to 496 of the family's 1533-position model. Lineage: Bacteria; Bacillati; Bacillota; Bacilli; Caryophanales; Bacillaceae. The record is from RNAcentral.
UGAUCCCGGCUCAGGACGAACGGCUGGCGGGCGUGCCUAAAACAUGCAAGUCGAGCGAAUCUGAUGGGAGCUUGCUCCCUGAAGAUUAGCGGCGGACGGGUGAGUAACACGUGGGUAACCUGCCUGUAAGACUGGGAUAACUCCGGGAAACCGGGGCUAAUACCUGAUAACAUUUUUCUUCGCAUGAAGGAGAAUUGAAAGAUGGCUUCGGCUAUCACUUACAGAUGGACCCGCGGCGCAUUAGCUAGUUGGUGAGGUAAUGGCUCACCAAGGCGACGAUGCGUAGCCGACUUGAGAGGGUGAUCGGCCACACUGGGACUGAGACACGGCCCAGACUCCUACGGGAGGCAGCAGUAGGGAAUCUUCCGCAAUGGACGAAAGUCUGACGGAGCCACGCCGCGUGAGUGAUGAAGGUAUUUCGGAUCGUAAAACUCAUGAUUGUUAGGGAACGAACAAGUAUCGUGUCGAAUAGGGCGGUACCUUGACGGUACACUAACCAGUAAGCCACGG